Molecule: ribosomal RNA, 253 nt
Filed under: uncultured bacterium
Lineage: Bacteria
Description: partial 16S ribosomal RNA
Rfam family: Bacterial small subunit ribosomal RNA
Source: RNAcentral
UACGUAGGGGGCGAGCGUUGUCCGGAAUUAUUGGGCGUAAAGAGCUCGUAGGCGGUUCCUUAAGUCGGGUGUGAAAUCUCAGGGCUCAACUCUGAAACUGCACCCGAUACUGGGGAACUUGAGGCAGGUAGGGGAGAUCGGAAUUCCUGGUGUAGCGGUGAAAUGCGCAGAUAUCAGGAGGAACACCGGUGGCGAAGGCGGAUCUCUGGGCCUGUUCUGACGCUGAGGAGCGAAAGCUAGGGGAGCAAACAGG